RNAcentral lists this ribosomal RNA (497 nucleotides) under uncultured bacterium. RNAcentral describes it as "partial 16S ribosomal RNA". It matches the Rfam family "Bacterial small subunit ribosomal RNA", at positions 28 to 507 of the family's 1533-position model. The record is from RNAcentral.
GAUGAACGCUGGCGGCGUGCCUAAUACAUGCAAGUCGAGCGAACAGACGAGGAGCUUGCUCCUCUGACGUUAGCGGCGGACGGGUGAGUAACACGUGGAUAACCUACCUAUAAGACUGGGAUAACUUCGGGAAACCGGAGCUAAUACCGUAUAAUAUAUUGAACCGCAUGGUUCAAUAGUGAAAGACGGUUUUGCUGUCACUUAUAGAUGGAUCCGCGACGCAUUAGCUAGUUGGUAAGGUAACGGCUUACCAAGGCAACGAUGCCUAGCCGAGCUGAGAGGGUGAUCGGCAACACUAGAACUGAGACACGGUCCAGAGUCCUACGGGAGGCAGCAGUAGGGAAUCUUCCGCAAUGGGCGAAAGCCUGAAGGAGCAACGCCGCGAGAGUGAUGAAGGUCUUCGGAUCAUAAAACUCUGUUAUUAGGGAAGAACAAAUGUGUAAGUAAAUAUGCACGUCUUGACGGUACCUAAUCAGAAAGCCACGGCUAACUACGUG